Molecule: ribosomal RNA, 492 nt
Filed under: uncultured bacterium
Lineage: Bacteria
Description: partial 16S ribosomal RNA
Rfam family: Bacterial small subunit ribosomal RNA
Source: RNAcentral
AGUGAACGCUGGCGGUAGGCCUAACACAUGCAAGUCGAACGGCAGCACAGUAAGAGCUUGCUCUUACGGGUGGCGAGUGGCGGACGGGUGAGGAAUACAUCGGAAUCUACUUUUUCGUGGGGGAUAACGUAGGGAAACUUACGCUAAUACCGCAUACGACCUACGGGUGAAAGCAGGGGAUCUUCGGACCUUGCGCGAUCGAAUGAUCCGAUGUCGGAUUAGCUAGUUGGCGGGGUAAAGGCCCACCAAGGCGACGAUCCGUAGCUGGUCUGAGAGGAUGAUCAGCCACACGGGAACUGAGACACGGUCCAGACUCCUACGGGAGGCAGCAGUGGGGAAUAUUGGACAAUGGGCGCAAGCCUGAUCCAGCCAUACCGCGUGGGUGAAGAAGGCCUUCGGGUUGUAAAGCCCUUUUGUUGGGAAAGAAAAGCAGCAGGUUAAUACCCCGCUGUUCUGACGGUACCCAAAGAAUAAGCACCGGCUAACUUCGUG